CAGCAGCCGCGGUAAUACGUAGGUGGCAAGCGUUGUCCGGAAUUAUUGGGCGUAAAGGGCUCGCAGGCGGUUUCUUAAGUCUGAUGUGAAAGCCCCCGGCUCAACCGGGGAGGGUCAUUGGAAACUGGGAAACUUGAGUGCAGAAGAGGAGAGUGGAAUUCCACGUGUAGCGGUGAAAUGCGUAGAGAUGUGGAGGAACACCAGUGGCGAAGGCGACUCUCUGGUCUGUAACUGACGCUGAGGAGCGAAAGCGUGGGGAGCGAACGGGAUUAGAUACCCCGGUAGUCCCUGUCUCUUAUAC
This 301-nucleotide ribosomal RNA is filed under the name uncultured bacterium. RNAcentral's name for it is "partial 16S ribosomal RNA". It matches the Rfam family "Bacterial small subunit ribosomal RNA", at positions 509 to 807 of the family's 1533-position model. The record is from RNAcentral.